GACGGCCAGUAUUCCAGCUCCAAUAGCGUAUAUUAAAGUUGUUGCAGUUAAAAAGCUCGUAGUUGGAUUUGUGGUGGAUUGUGGAGUCCUCUUUUGGUACUUUGACGAUCGGCCAUCCUUGGGGGAACCUGUGUGGCAUUAGGUUGUUGUGCAGGGGAUGCUCAUCACUUACUGUGAAAAAAUCAGCGCGUUCAAAGCAGGCUUAUGCCGUUGAAUGUAUUAGCAUGGAAUAAUAAGAUAGGACCUUGGUACUAUUUUGUUGGUUUGUGCACCGAGGUAAUGAUUAAUAGGGACAGUUGGGGGUAUUCGUAUUCCAUUGUCAGAGGUGAAAUUCUUGGAUUUCUGGAAGACGAACUACUGCGAAAGC
Molecule: ribosomal RNA, 367 nt
Filed under: Encyonema neogracile
Lineage: Eukaryota; Bacillariophyta; Bacillariophyceae; Cymbellales; Encyonemataceae
Description: SSU rRNA
Rfam family: Eukaryotic small subunit ribosomal RNA
Source: RNAcentral